This is a long non-coding RNA of Hippocampus zosterae (dwarf seahorse), 2139 nucleotides long. RefSeq lists it as uncharacterized. The transcript has 3 exons. Lineage: Eukaryota; Metazoa; Chordata; Actinopteri; Syngnathiformes; Syngnathidae. The record is from RefSeq and is a predicted model, not a curated record.
CAUUUGGAUCUGCUGUGAGCUUUCCGAGCUACGUUACGCACUUUUCGCAUUACAUGACAUCAUCAUGACAUUUUCCGUCUGAAAUAUUUCAGUCAUCGUCGUGGUGAUGUUCGAAGAACCGCCCCCCCCCCAACCCCCAUCCCACGAUGAACGCUUUUAGACAUGAUGCGCCAAAAACUUUGAUUGCAGGGAAAACCGUUUGCUGCCAUAUCAGAAUAUGCGAUCGAAGCUGAUCGGUUCCAAAUGUGGAGCGUUUGAAGUUUUGAAGUGGAACGUUGUUGCGCACGCAGGUGCCAUGUCAUCCCCUUUUGUAAACAACGGUGUUAUAAAUAAUCUCCCAGCGUGAGCCAUCUGCUGUUUGUGUUUUCCACUUGCGGUCUACGCCCGCAAUUAGCAUUCGAUCGCCGGGGACCGGCUCAGACCUUAAAUCAUGUCAGGCUCGCUUUCUGUUUUCAAAACACGCGCAACAUGGUGUGCACUUGCGGUGGUCUUAUGGGACACAAUCAAGUUGUUUUGUGUUUGUUCGUGUUUUGUCACGCUUUCCUUUUGUCAUGCUAAACAACACAACACAAAACAAACCUCUACCUAAAAAGAAAUGGAAUUCCUGGAUGAAACUAAAUUGGAGGUGAACUUCAUUUAACCGAUGCUAAAAUUGACCAGAAAGGGCCGCCUGAAUUUUAACUAGGCCAGGAAAUGCAAAUUUAGGGCAAAGGGGCUUUCCGGCCUCUGCGGUCGUUGCAUCCGCAGCAAUUGGAGUUCAUCAAUUCCUCAAUUUAGCAGUGAUUUUCUGAGGAAUAACUCAUGCAAAAAUGGCCUCGGCAAACAGCCUGUGGGUGCCGAGGGUUUACGAGGAGAUUAUACCUGCGGGGCCAACUCGUUGCCGUCAGCGUCAGUCAUCUACUCUCCUGGCUUUUGAGGCACGGGCAACAUGACGCACCUAAGCCGUGCAGUCGGGACCCCCCCCGACGCUCUACUCCAGAUGCCCGACAUCAUUAAACCCGCCGAUAUCCGCCGCGAGUGCUCAUAUCAAGGCUUUAGCGUCCUCGUUCGCACACUGCUUUUCAGUCAGAUCGGAAUUGUUCAUCUCCUAAUUUACAGUGUGAUUCCUGAAAGUGUCUUGUUAGAAAUAGACAAUUAAACUCGCCGGCGUGCCUUUUGCAUAACCCCCGCAUUUCGUUUUCACAUUUGCGUCAAAUGGAACGCCAAAUGUCACGCCGCGGACUCCAAAAGAGCCACUCAAUAGAUAAAUAGCGCCACUUCAUCUCAGAGACACAAUUUAUUUAUCUUGCAUUAUGUUAAGUCUGCUUGUGCUAGCUUGUACGGUUGCCGGCUUGAAAUAGGUGAGUUGACUAACUUAAAAUGUUAUUUUGAGGUCACCCAACUCAUUUUUUGUUUGUUUUUUUUUUUUUUGCAAUGUGGUGAGCCGACUGCACUCUCAACCUGACCAUGCUCGCCUGUCCUCGAGCCGCAGGCAGGCAGGACCACGUCGGAUAACCGCAGUCACACUACGAGAGGAUUUCAGUCAUCAAGGCCCUUUUGUUCCAGCACCCCCCCAAACUCACUCACACGCGCACGCACACAGCAGGGGACAGCAGCAUUUGGCCCCCGCUUACCCGUCAGACAAGCUGGUGCCUGACUCGGACCGGCUUCGCGGCUUUGACCUUAUCAGCUGAUCGUGUGACACACCUCACGCGCACAGUGCACGGCAAAACUUCAACUUGGAGUGGAACGAACAGCUUGGAGCUUUGUUUUUUUUUUGGAAGAAUUUGUCAAUGUGCUCGUGUGAGUCCAAUCUUUUUUUUAAUCUUUAAAGUUUUAUCCUUUCACAAACAUUUCUGUCUUCACUUAUCUGUUCAACUCAUUCACUCACCUCUGCCCCACUGUCACACGCACCCCCCCCCCCCCUCCACACACACACAUUUCUCUUAGGUGUUGCGAUGCACUGUGAACAGCACAGGAGUGGGCUGACAAAAAAGCAUUUAAAAUGCAAAUAGAGCAACGCUGGGAGCGGCUCCGGCAGUCUCUCGCCUGCUGAGGCUGUGUAUGCGCGUAUAGCUGCGCAGGUGUGACCUCGUGUUCGUGUGUGUACGCAAAGGCAAGCUCAAGUUAAAAGUCAAAAAAGGUUUUAAAAAAAAGAUA